AGAUGCUGAAAUGUAUAGAGCUUGAUGAACGACUGAAAGCCAUGGAUCAAGAGAUCACUGUGAACCCUCAGUUUGUGCAGAAGAGUAUGGGCUCUCAAGAAGAUGACUCAGGGACCAAACCAUCCAGUUAUUCCUGAAAUUAAUGUUGCUCACCACUCCGCUUUCAAGUAAAAGCUUAAGAGAAUCACGCCUGGAAUAGGGCAUUGAGGAGUUCCAAGAAGAGAGCAGAGAGAACUGAGCUUUGCUUUACACCUGGACAUUAAGAAAAUAAAAGAACACCCUCUCAGUACUGUAUAAUUUCAGAAAUAUGCUCUGCAAAGAAAAAGGAAAUCUCAAAAGAAACUUAAGUCUGUUGUGGAUUUAUUUAUCUUCAGAUUAACAUCGUUAAUGCAUUAAAUAAUCUACCUUUUGUUU
Molecule: non-coding RNA, 414 nt
Organism: Tinamus guttatus (white-throated tinamou)
Lineage: Eukaryota; Metazoa; Chordata; Aves; Tinamiformes; Tinamidae
Source: RefSeq, a predicted model, not a curated record